UGGGGAAUAUUGGACAAUGGGCGGAAGCCUGAUCCAGCCAUGCCGCGUGUGUGAAGAAGGCCUUUUGGUUGUAAAGCACUUUAAGCGAGGAGGAGGCUACCUAGAUUAAUACUCUGGGAUAGUGGACGUUACUCGCAGAAUAAGCACCGGCUAACUCUGUGCCAGCAGCCGCGGUAAUACAGAGGGUGCAAGCGUUAAUCGGAAUUACUGGGCGUAAAGCGCGCGUAGGCGGUUUGUUAAGUCGGAUGUGAAAUCCCUGGGCUCAACCUAGGCACUGCAUCCGAUACUGGCUGACUAGAGUAUGGGAGAGGAAGGUAGAAUUCCAGGUGUAGCGGUGAAAUGCGUAGAGAUCUGGAGGAAUACCGAUGGCGAAGGCAGCCUUCUGGCCUAAUACUGACGC
This 400-nucleotide ribosomal RNA is filed under the name uncultured bacterium. RNAcentral describes it as "bacterial SSU rRNA". It matches the Rfam family "Bacterial small subunit ribosomal RNA", at positions 355 to 746 of the family's 1533-position model. The record is from RNAcentral.